GACGAACGCUGGCGGCGCGCUUAACACAUGCAAGUCGAGCGAUGAAAUUUCGACAGAACCCUUCGGGGUGAAGAUGAAAUGGAUUAGCGGCGGACGGGUGAGUAACACGUGAGUAACCUGCCUUAGACAUUGGGAUAGCCUCGGGAAACCGGGAUUAAUACCAAAUGAAAUCACAUAUGCACAUGCAUAAAUGAUCAAAGCUCCGGCGGUCUAAGAUGGACUCGCGUCCCAUUAGCUAGUUGGUGAGGUAACGGCCCACCAAGGCGACGAUGGGUAGCCGGCCUGAGAGGGUGAACGGCCACAUUGGAACUGAGAAACGGUCCAAACUCCUACGGGAGGCAGCAGUGGGGAAUAUUGCACAAUGGAGGGAACCCUGAUGCAGCGACGCCGCGUGAACGAAGAAGGCUUUCGAGUCGUAAAGUUCUUUUAUAUGGGAAGAUAAUGACGGUACCAUAAGAAAAAGCCCCGGCUAACUACGUGCCAGCAGCCGCGGUAAUACGUAGGGGGCUAGCGUUGUCCGGAAUCACUGGGCGUAAAGGGUUCGCAGGCGGAAAUGUAAGUCAGGUGUAAAAGGCAGUAGCUUAACUACUGUAAGCAUUUGAAACUGCAUAUCUUGAGAAGAGUAGAGGUAAGUGGAAUUUUUAGUGUAGCGGUGAAAUGCGUAGAUAUUAAAAAGAAUACCGGUGGCGAAGGCGACUUACUGGGCUCAUUCUGACGCUGAGGAACGAAAGCGUGGGUAGCAAACAGG
RNAcentral lists this ribosomal RNA (748 nucleotides) under uncultured Peptoniphilus sp. Its description in RNAcentral is "bacterial SSU rRNA". It matches the Rfam family "Bacterial small subunit ribosomal RNA", at positions 28 to 776 of the family's 1533-position model. The record is from RNAcentral. Lineage: Bacteria; Bacillati; Bacillota; Tissierellia; Tissierellales; Peptoniphilaceae.